This is a long non-coding RNA of Esox lucius (northern pike), 549 nucleotides long. The record is from Ensembl. Lineage: Eukaryota; Metazoa; Chordata; Actinopteri; Esociformes; Esocidae.
GUUAGAUUGAAAUAAUUAGUAAUGAAAAAGGGACAGUAGUGGUAUUCCUUGACCGUGUGAUACUCCAUCCCAACCCACCUACCAAGACAUGGUGACUGAUGUAGAAGAGGGGAUUCGCAGACAAAAACAGCAAUACAACAUCUACGCUCUACUCCAUCUCCAUCCCUAUAGGAUGUGCCAGCAGACUAAACAGGAGAUCGCUGACAUCCAUCAAGACAGACUUCUCCAUGACAUGGAACUAAACAGGACCAACCUCUUUAUGCCAGCGAACCAAUAGGGAACUAUUGGAAAGAGUCAGCAGAGGUGAAGAACACAGAGACCAACCCCUCUGAAUUUCCAGACAACAGAAAGACAGCUGAACAGUGAUUACGAGACAUUGGACUGUCUCUCUCUAGAGAAAAUUAUGUCAGUUUAUUGUGCUAGAUCACUUCUAUUUUUUUUACAGUAGAUUUAAUUCUAUUAAAUUCUAUUAAAUCUAUUACAUUUGUUAUAGUAGUUUUUAAGUCAUUCUUUUAUAUGUUUUGCAGUAGUUUUUCUAUUAUUUCCCGC